This 465-nucleotide ribosomal RNA is filed under the name Vreelandella stevensii. Its description in RNAcentral is "partial 16S ribosomal RNA". It matches the Rfam family "Bacterial small subunit ribosomal RNA", at positions 338 to 795 of the family's 1533-position model. The record is from RNAcentral. Lineage: Bacteria; Pseudomonadati; Pseudomonadota; Gammaproteobacteria; Oceanospirillales; Halomonadaceae.
CCUACGGGGGGCUGCAGUGGGGAAUAUUGGACAAUGGGGGCAACCCUGAUCCAGCCAUGCCGCGUGUGUGAAGAAGGCCCUCGGGUUGUAAAGCACUUUCAGUGAGGAAGAACGCCUGGUGGUUAAUACCCAUCAGGAAAGACAUCACUCACAGAAGAAGCACCGGCUAACUCCGUGCCAGCAGCCGCGGUAAUACGGAGGGUGCGAGCGUUAAUCGGAAUUACUGGGCGUAAAGCGCGCGUAGGUGGCUUGAUAAGCCGGUUGUGAAAGCCCCGGGCUCAACCUGGGAACGGCAUCCGGAACUGUCAAGCUAGAGUGCAGGAGAGGAAGGUAGAAUUCCCGGUGUAGCGGUGAAAUGCGUAGAGAUCGGGAGGAAUACCAGUGGCGAAGGCGACCUUCUGGACUGACACUGACACUGAGGUGCGAAAGCGUGGGUAGCAAACAGGAUUAGAUACCCGUGUAGUC